CUCAUGCCUUCUCUGUCUCGAUGCCGGCUAUCAUCUAGCGUCACCGCGACCAUCUUCUUCCCCUCCUUACAAUCUCGCACUGUGGGCCUGUGGCUCUCUAGCUUGCCCAUGCCUCCCUCAUUCCCAGUCGCAAAAUCAAAACAGAGCCACUCUAGUGUUAAUUCGACUCAGUAUGUGUGAUCCUAUCUUCACCAUUGGUCAAGAUCGUCAGUGCAAUUUAUGGCUUAAAGAUCCAACUGUUGGCAAUAUUUUAUGCAAGUUGAGAAACAUCGAGGUAGCAGAAGCGAGAAAGCAAGCUUCUAUCAUUGAAUCAUAUCUUGAGCAAAGAGGAGUAGAUUUUUCUGAAGGAUACAUAUCUUAUAAAGUUGUACUUCCUAAUCCUAAAUUAUGGCCGUAAUGCUCAUACCAUAUCAUACAAAGCUGGAAAACCUCCACAGGAAGUAAGAUUACUGCCUUCCCAGGCCUACAAGAUUAGACGAAGCUAGCUGGUCACCUGCUUUCGGUAACUCAUGCGAACUCUCUCCCCGUGUAUACACAGACCACGACUAGAGCAAGCAUCCUUGCACACUACUUAAGAAAUUAGGAUUAUAUAUUCAUCUUUUGAGAUUGUUGAAGAGAUGGAGGAGCCUGUGGAGGCAGAGAACUAUGGUGGUGAUGAUGAGCCUUCAGUGAUGAAAGCCAUUAUGAGAGAAAGUUCUCAGCUUCUCUCUAUGCCUUCAAUGGAAUAUAUAAUGCCGAAUGCUUGAAGUUGAAGCUUCAGUCAAAGAACAUAAAAGGAGAGGUUUUAUUUUGGGGAUGAGGUUCUACCCUUGUUUGAGACUGGUAUUCUUCUCUUAAACUAACGGUUGAGUCAGCUUCCGGAUGCUAAUAAUGUUUAGAAGGCAAAGAUUGGGUUGAAGGAAUGAAGAAAAGCAUGCAAAGUGGGAGAACUCAUGAAGAAAUGAAGGAAUUGCUAACCUGUCAAUUCUGACCUCUUUGUACUAAAUCGAUCAUAACUUGAGCAACAAAGGUCCAAAUGAGGCGGUUUUAGUUGCGUUGGAAAGCUAACAUCCGGAGCUUCAAAAUGAUAUACAUUUCAUCAAAGUUGCCUUGCAUUUAGGCAACGCGCAUGCGUCGCCCAUGCGUGUGUGAAGCAGGAUCAGCGUGGGCCGUUUUAAGCAACUCGUGGCCAGUGAUUUCUAGCUCAUUUUGGGCCCAAUCCAACUCAUUUCUGAUGCUAUUGAACCCAAGGAUUGAAGAGGGAAUGAACCAAGUAGUCAUAGUUUAGUUUUCAUUAUGUUUUAGAGUAGAAUUCUAGAGAGAGAGGCUCUUUCCUCUCUCUAGAUUUAGGGUAGAAAUUAGGGUAAAGUUAGGUUAAUCUCUCUCAAAUUUAUCUUUCAAUUCUUGUUUUGAUUUAGUUUUCCCUUUUAAUUCCUUGUUAUUAACCUUUGCUCUUCUAGUUCUUGUUGUUAAUUUCUCUUUCAUGUCAUUUUUAUGUUUAUGAACAAUUGUUGGAUCUCAAUUUCUUUUGAUGCAAUUUUAUAUUUCUAUGUCUCUUGAUGUUUGC
Molecule: non-coding RNA, 1546 nt
Organism: Arachis ipaensis
Lineage: Eukaryota; Viridiplantae; Streptophyta; Magnoliopsida; Fabales; Fabaceae
Source: RefSeq, a predicted model, not a curated record